GGCAUGUGGAGGAGGAUGAAAUUGGAGACAUGAGAUAGAGAUAGAGAUAGAGAUAGGAGGUGGGAAAUUAAGCUGGAGUGGCUGCUGCUCUUGGCCGGUAGUAGAGAUGUUAUUGCUUGGAUGGAUGAAAUUGACGUGAAGUGAAGCCAUUAAAUGGUUAUGGCAGCCUGAUUGUACCAGGCUGGAAGUGAAUUAUUGAAAGAGCUCGUGUUUUUGAUGCGUCGUCUGAAGUCUGAAGCAAGAAAUUAUUAGCUGACUUUGCCUGGAAAAGUUCAAAACAAGAGAGCCGCAGCCUAUUUAUCCAAAACCAUGCAUUUUCCGAAGAAAACAGAUGAACUAUGCCAUUUGAAUUUGUCCUUUCUCUGGCACCUUCCUUCCUCUUGACUUUAUUAUCAGUGAGGACUCCAAAUACAACCCUGAUCUUGUACGGCCACUGCUGGGUUGGUUUUCUUUUUCCAGGAUUCCCAAACAAUCAUUAAAUUAUUCAUUUUCAACUAUUCUAUCAGGAUUACAUCUCUUUCACACCAUCUCCAUCCACGCAGCAGCCUGCCUUCGCGCCUGCUACUAUCACCUAUUUCCAAUGUGUGUAAAGAGAAGUUGUUCAAACUGGAACUCUUCUUUAACUUGGUGGGUAAUUAUCUAACAAAAACAAUAUUUUAAAUGUUGUCGAUAUCGUGACAAACAUUGAAUCAUUUCACUGGAGAUGAUGGAUGGAAACUUGGGAAAUCUUUGCUUCUUUUCUUUUCUUUCUUUGUUUUUUUCCUUUCUUUCUUUCUCAUCAUGUUUAACGUGUGGCUUUACUGACUUCAGCCGCCUUUAAUUUGUUUCAGUUUGGUUUCUUUUCCAAGAAAAUUCAUGCUUAUCUUUCUUCUCUCA
Long non-coding RNA from Hevea brasiliensis (rubber tree), 876 nucleotides. RefSeq lists it as uncharacterized. The record is from RefSeq and is a predicted model, not a curated record. The transcript is spliced from 2 exons. Lineage: Eukaryota; Viridiplantae; Streptophyta; Magnoliopsida; Malpighiales; Euphorbiaceae.